RNA transcript from Nothobranchius furzeri (turquoise killifish), 1305 nucleotides. RefSeq lists it as uncharacterized. NCBI's taxonomy places the organism in Eukaryota, Metazoa, Chordata, Actinopteri, Cyprinodontiformes, Nothobranchiidae. The record is from RefSeq and is a predicted model, not a curated record.
ACAGGUGAAACUCCAAAAAUUAGAGCGUGGUGCAAAGAUGAAUUCAUUUCAGUAAAAGCUAACGGGGCCAAACCGAGUACUGAGUACACAUGAUUAUAGUUAUUCAGAUGUCCAACAUUUCUCUAUUUAAAAUUAUUGUUUCAUUGAUUUCAUGUAAUAUACUUGUUGUCUGACAUUGUGAAUGUGGGGUUUUCAUCAUCUGUAAGCCAGAAUCAUCACAAUUAUAACAAAUGGAAAUAUUCUAAUUUUUAGAGUUCUACCUUAAAGGAGCAUGGGGCAGGAAUUGUCCAAAAACAAAAAGUACAUGUUCAUUCUUGAGAAGCUUAUGGGUGAUGAAGCAUUUUAAACUAAAAAGAAUGAUGAAACCAGUUUAUCAUUCCAUUUUGGCUGUGUGCUGCAAAAUGCAAAACAUUCCUGAUCCAAAUUUCCCGCGCUGUUUUACGGAUGUGACGUUAAUUGACGCUUCAAGCGCGUUCUCGACAAGGUUCAAACCCGGAAAAACAUUUGGAAGCUUGCUAGGUGGCGGUAACGCGUCUUUCACUACUAGCCACGUUAAAACCCCAAACAGAAGAGGAAGAACCCUGGAAAUGGUUUCUACAACUAGCAAACGACCAAGCACAACUCAAAGCCCACUAAAGAGUGGCACAAAGAAGAAGGUUUUAUCAGCGGCAUCUCGAGAGUCAAAAAGAAAAUAUGAUAAAAGUCGGUCAGGGACCCGAAUAUCUAUUGGUUACGCUCUGGAAGAAUGGAGGCUGCUUCAACUGGAUUUGGGCCUGAAAAAGGAUGCGGACAUGGCACAUUUUCUAGUGACCAGCUACCAGGAGAAGCAGGCUCCUGAAACUGCAAUUCAGGGAGGUAAUGUGCAGUCAACCUCAACACCCAGUAAGCGAACAGCAGCUAAAAUGUUGCAUCGAUUAUCUCCAACUGAACCUGUGUCUGAGGGGGAAGAUUUUCUAAUGGCUGGUGUUGAGGCCUUAGCUGAUGACCUAGAUUUGGAUCCUUUUAAAGAAAGUUUCAAAUCCAUGGAUCUAGCUACGGAUGCAGUCCAAAUUGAUGAGGACCAAGCAAACAACUUACUCAACAGUGUGCUGGGAUCCUAAAGGGAAUUUCCAUCCUACUUGUGUGGCUGAAUGACAUCUUCAACCAAUUUUGGUACAUUUGCCAGAAAGCACAACAUCGUGAUAUGUUUAAUGACAUGUGGGUGGGUGUGCUUCACCAUGUCACAGGGAAGCACGAAUGGACCCGUGGCAAAUGUGACCAUGGACCACUUGAUGCAACGACCAGUGAUAAAGAGCUCAUGGUGCC